UGAGGAAUAUUGCGCAAUGGACGAAAGUCUGACGCAGCGACGCCGCGUGGGCGAUGAAGGCCUUCGGGUCGUAAAGCCCUUUUGGCAGGGACGAGUGAGGACGGUACCUGUCGAAUAAGUCUCGGCUAACUACGUGCCAGCAGCCGCGGUAAAACGUAGGAGGCGAGCGUUAUCCGGAUUUACUGGGCGUAAAGCGUGCGUAGGCGGUUGGGUAAGUCGGACGUUAAAGCCCCUGGCUCAACUAGGGGAGGUCGUUCGAUACUGCUUGGCUUGAGGAUGAUAGAGGAAAGCGGAAUUCCCGGUGUAGCGGUGGAAUGCGUAGAGAUCGGGAGGAACACCAGUGGCGAAAGCGGCUUUCUGGCUCAUUUCUGACGCUGAUUGCACGAAAGCGUGGGGAGCAAACGGG
RNAcentral lists this ribosomal RNA (406 nucleotides) under uncultured bacterium. Its description in RNAcentral is "bacterial SSU rRNA". It matches the Rfam family "Bacterial small subunit ribosomal RNA", at positions 355 to 776 of the family's 1533-position model. The record is from RNAcentral.